This 329-nucleotide unclassified non-coding RNA is filed under the name soil metagenome. RNAcentral describes it as "partial contains 5.8S ribosomal RNA, internal transcribed spacer 2, and large subunit ribosomal RNA". The stretch from base 1 to 120 matches the Rfam family "5.8S ribosomal RNA", at positions 35 to 154 of the family's 154-position model. The record is from RNAcentral.
GAUGAAGAACGUAGCGAAAUGCGAUAAGUAAUGUGAAUUGCAGAAUUCAGUGGAUCAUCGAAUCUUUGAACGCACAUUGCGCCCCCUGGUAUUCCGGGGGGCAUGCCUGUUCGAGCGUCAUUACAACCCUCAAGCUCUGCUUGGUAUUGGGCCCCGCCAGUUCUGGCGGGCCCUAAAGUCAGUGGCGGUGCCUUCCGGCUCCGAGCGUAGUAAUUCUUCUCGCUCUGGAGACCCGGUUGUGUGCUUGCCAACAACCCCCAAUUUUUUAAGGUUGACCUCGGAUCAGGUAGGGAUACCCGCUGAACUUAAGCAUAUCAAUAAGCGGAGGA